GACUCCUGUCUCUUUGAAUGAAGAGAGGGAGGGAUUUAAUCGCCGCCGUAAGAAGAAGCUUCCUCUCCCUUCGCACCCCAAGCCCCAUGAUGGACGCAUCAGAACGUUACUCCUACAAUCCGACAUUGCGAUGGAACCCUGAAGUCGAAGACUACUUCGUCAAAGCAUAUGGAACUGAUAAUUUCUCUCGCAUCACCAAAGCCCUAAUGUGUCCAUCUCGAUAUUCUUGUAUUCGUGUGAAUACACUCAAGUCUACAAGUGAUGCUGUUAUUGAGAAGCUAUGGGCUAUUAUUCAGGAAACUGGGCUUGGAAAUGCCGUUGACAGCAUAAACUUAGACAAAUGUGAUGCCAUUUCCAAAUCUGAUGUGAGCCAGAAUCAAAGAAACUUUCCAGAAGAAUCUAGUUUCUGCAAGAAUUCACAUGACUCUGAGAAUGCAGUCUUGGGACUGUCUGAAGAUUUAUAUCCCUGGAAGGAAAGCUUACCUACUGGUCCCAUUGUUAAGUGUCAUUUACCUGGGUUAGACUAUGUUGUGUUUGUUAGAGGGUCAGGACCACACACAAUUGAUUAUGGUUAUGCUCAUGAGAGACCUCUGAAGGAGGUAAUUGUGAGCCGUAAAUGUGCAGAGGCAGUUCUUCGAGGUGCUCAGGUAUAUGUUCCUGGUAUAUUAGCUUGUAGUGCUCACGUUGAGAAAGGGGAUCCAGUUGCGGUUUCAGUUGCUGUGGAGCAGCCUGGUCUUGAUGGUGGAUGGAGCAUUGGUAUAACUAGGGGGACUGUUCUACAAGGAUUUGAGACAGAUCCUCAUUAUUUUGAACGAAAGGGCCUUUAUAUUGGCCAUGGCACUGCAAUGAUGUCAAGGGCUGGGUUUUUCCGUGUUUCAGAAGGACUUGCUGUGGAUAUGAGUAAUAGAGUAUUUAAAUUGGCAUCCUUUCAUGUGUUAGUAACAGUCAUUGGUGACUUUCUUGGAGCAGUGGCGGUGCUGAUAAGUUGUUUUUGCGAGGCUGUGGCAGUGUUAUAUGUGCUUGAAGGAGAAAUAUUUCUUCAAAACCUGCCAAGUGUUAUUGCUGCACAUGCCCUUGAUCCUCAACAGGGAGAACGAAUAUUGGACAUGUGUGCAGCUCCCGGUGGGAAAACAACUGCAAUUGCUAUUCUUAUGAAGGAUGAAGGAGAGGUUGUUGCAGUCGAUAGAUCUCACAAUAAGGUGCUGGAUAUUCAGAAAUUGGCUGCUGAAAUGGGACUGAAUUGUAUAACCACGUAUAAGUUAGAUGCCCUAAGAGCUGUUUGUCAUGGGAUGGGUGAACCUAUUCAAAGUGCAGAGUCAAAUACGAUAGGACGAUCCAAUGCUGAUUUGUCUUGCGUAGUAAAUGAGUUCUCUCUCUCUCUCCAAAAGCAAAUGGUAACAGGCAAUGGGGCCAGGGAAAAUCAACAGAGUUGUGGAAGUAAAGCUGAGGCCCAAGUGAAUAUUCGGAGAAUGAGAAAUGGGCCGGGAAGAAAUCACUGCAUGGGUGGUAGGGUUGAAAGUUCUAAAGGUUUUUCUCCCAAUAGCUUUGAUCGAGUCCUUCUAGAUGCUCCCUGUUCUGCUCUAGGUUUGAGGCCACGAUUAUUUGCUGGAGAGGAGACAGUAGUAUCUUUAAGGAACCAUGCAAAUUAUCAAAAGAGGAUGUUUGACCAGGCCAUUCAGCUAGUUCGCCCCGGUGGAGUUCUUGUAUACUCCACAUGUACAAUAAAUCCUGGCGAGAAUGAAGCACUUGUUCGAUAUGCUUUGGAUACAUAUAAGUUUCUUUCAUUGGCAUCACAGCAUCCUAGAAUUGGAGGACCUGGUCUUGUUGGUUCUUGCAGCUUCUCUGAUGGAUAUGUUGAGGAAUGGUUAAAACCCGGUGAGGACGCACUCGUUCAGAGGUUUGAUCCAUCAUCUACACUCGAUACAAUAGGAUUCUUCAUAGCCAAAUUUAAUGUGGGUCCAAAGGAUACAUGACUUCUCAUGGAUAUCUUUUACUUGGCUAACCUCGCUGUGGACUCAUCUCCUUCGUACGAGGCAAGUAUGAAAAUUUUGAAGAGAGCAUUCAUGUCAACAGUCUUCUGCAAGAUUCCAGUGGAACAGAGACAGCUAGAUAGAGUCCUCAGAUUUUGCCUUCUCUGAGAGAGAAUUGGCAAAAAGACAAGUCUAGAGAGGGAGUAUAAGUAUCCAUAAGUUUGAUUCACAAAUGCAGCGCGUGGAUGGUGAGGUUUGCAUGGAGUUUCAAGAGGGCAAAUCUAGUACCUUUCAAGAUCGAUUGAUCAAUUUGUUUUUGUUAUAAAUGAUGUUCAGAUAUUUAGAUAUGGAGUUCAUUUUUGUUCUAGUAUGGUGUUGAUUGUCUAAUAAAGUUUCUGUUGUUUGUCGCUUAUUUUCACCCCAAAAAAAUACGAAGGAAAUCAACACUUUGGUGCUUGUCACAAUGAAAUAUCCGUUGUCAUAGAUAGAACUGGUUUUUUAAUGCGUUUGGACCCCUAUGAUGUUUGCCAAAACCAUGGAAUUUCCUUGAUGUUCAAGCACAGAUGUUUCUUGAUGUUCAAAGAUAA
Molecule: RNA transcript, 2557 nt
Organism: Malania oleifera
Lineage: Eukaryota; Viridiplantae; Streptophyta; Magnoliopsida; Santalales; Ximeniaceae
Gene name: rRNA (cytosine-C(5))-methyltransferase NOP2C
Exons: 16
Source: RefSeq, a predicted model, not a curated record